RNAcentral lists this ribosomal RNA (145 nucleotides) under uncultured eukaryote. Its description in RNAcentral is "partial 18S ribosomal RNA". It matches the Rfam family "Eukaryotic small subunit ribosomal RNA", at positions 1299 to 1458 of the family's 1831-position model. The record is from RNAcentral.
UGGUGGAGUGAUUUGUCUGGUUAAUUCCGUUAACGAACGAGACCUCGACCUGCUAAAUAGAUCCACUCAUUCCUUCGUGAAUGAGCCGUGGUCUUCUUAGAGGGACUAUCGGCUUUGUAGCCGAUGGAAGUUCGAGGCAAUAACA